CCAAGACGUUGUUUCAACUUCAAGCUUAACUCAGACUUCAAUGAAACCUCCACCUCCGAAAUUUCUAAGCAAUUCGGACUCAAAUUCGUCGCAAGAGAAGUCCCAAUCGGACACCCCUGUUAUUCCUCAAAGCUCUACAGAACCUUCUGGAAGUGGCGACCACUCCAGCUCGAGCUCUGUUUCCUCCCAAAGUAGUAAAGACAUCAAGGAAGACCAGAAGCAAGAUCAACGAUCUGGUGCUGCUGCAGUUCCCGAGCUCUACGGAACCUUCUGGAAGUGGCGAUGACUCCAGCUCGAGCUCUGUUUCCUCCCAAAGUAGUAAAGACAUCAAGGAAAACCAGAAGCAAGAGCAACGAUCCGGUGCUGCUGCAGUUCCCUACACCAUUCCUACGUGGAGUGGGCGUCCCUGUCACCAG
RNAcentral lists this long non-coding RNA (416 nucleotides) under Nicotiana benthamiana. RNAcentral's name for it is "long non-coding RNA (NBEN_LNC027666)". Lineage: Eukaryota; Viridiplantae; Streptophyta; Magnoliopsida; Solanales; Solanaceae. The record is from RNAcentral.